Molecule: long non-coding RNA, 584 nt
Filed under: Calidris pygmaea (Spoon-billed sandpiper)
Lineage: Eukaryota; Metazoa; Chordata; Aves; Charadriiformes; Scolopacidae
Description: lncRNA (ENSCPGG00000004970.1)
Source: RNAcentral
UUUAUUGAUAGAUACCAGCUGAUGGGAAAAGCCUCUUGGAAAUACAAGGCUUAGAUCCCAAUGAGAAAUACAUAUUUGCAGUUGCAGCAUAUUCUUCUGAUGGAAAACUUAUUGGUGAUGCCAUUGGGGAAACAACUAAGCCAAUCCUCGCUUAUCCACCUCUUUCUGCUACUACUGUUCGAGCCUACCUAACUGAGGUAGCCUAUCAGACUGGCAACUACACAUUAGCCAGAGAAGCAUUUGCACCCAUGUGGGAUUAUUUUGUUUCAAAUUCUUCUCCACUGCCUGCCAAUGCAGCUGUUAUUUCUGCAAGUAGUAAUUUGACUAUAUCUGAAAACAGGUUACGUAUUGAAACUGUGUCUCAGACUUCUUCUAUUACCUUGCACCUCUUUCUGAGGAACAUAUUUGCUGUCUGUGACAUUAAUGUCAUAGAAGGAGCACUCUUCUGUGAUUCCAUCUGUUCCAAUGAGAUACUUUUUAAAGAACAAGUAUGUAUGGCUUAAAAUAAUAUAGUGGGUUUGAUUUUACUUUUUGAUCAGCUUUAUUUCAUCGUUGUGAGAUAGAUGUUGCAAUGUAAUAGUCCU